This is a long non-coding RNA of Bubalus bubalis (water buffalo), 1530 nucleotides long. RefSeq lists it as uncharacterized. The transcript has 2 exons. The record is from RefSeq and is a predicted model, not a curated record. NCBI's taxonomy places the organism in Eukaryota, Metazoa, Chordata, Mammalia, Artiodactyla, Bovidae.
CGGGCAGGCAGGCAGGAAACCUUUAAUCCAGUGCCUUGUGCCCCGCUUGCACAUUGGGCAGCGGGAAGGGAGUGCCCCUUCAGCAGAUGCUAGGUCGGUCCCAAGAAUCAAAAGCCCUUCUGUGCACAGCCUGGGCGCUCAACCGUUUUUCAACAUUGCUGCACUGCCUUCCUGGAUGGUUUGAGUUUUCUUUGGAUAGAGGCAGUUGGGGGGAAAGGGAUGAUGUCUUUGGGCCACCCAGUUUGAGAAGUAAAUGAGAAAAAGAAAAUUGCUGGUGGUCAAAAUCUCGAAGUGAGAACAGGGUUGCUGCAGACAGUCGUGCAAGGUGUGCACUGCACAACUGCUGAGGCGCCUUUCCUCAAACAGAGAGUCAUGCCGUGUGUAUACCCAUUCGGGGUCACCCAUUAUGUGCCAGAAGGAGAACCACCUGGCUCAGGUGACCAGGGCCUUAUUCUUGGAUGGAGCUGGGGGGAUGGGAAUCAGUGGCCAGUUUGUAUGUGGGGGACACAGCAAGACCUCAUUACAAUGGCAGUCCUGAUCGAAAUACUUAGACACUCCCCAUACAGAUAAUUAAAUCUAACAGGGUCGUGGAGGAAGGAGAAGUCAAGGGAGUAAGAGCUCCCAAAUUUGUGGGCUCUCCUACCUCCCAGAUAUGAUUGCCAGAGAAAAAUAGAGGAUACCCAGUUAAAUUUGAAGGUCAGAUAAACAAUGAAUACAUAAUAUCCCCAGGGCUAAGAUCAAACAAAGAAACAAACAAUGAAAUCUUUUUAGCAUAAGUAUGCCCCAAACAUUGCAUGGGAUAUACCUACACUAAAGAAAUCACCGGUUAGUUCUCCGUCAGUCAAAUUUAACUAGGCAUCUCUAUUUUUCUUUGCUAACUCUAGCAAUCCUGCCCUCAGAGGGCAUGUCUGUAAAAGCUCUUUGCCACCCACCAUUGCCUGGAAAUAGCUAUUAAACCAGCAGCUAAUCAGGAGCAAACUUCCCCCAGGCCUUUUGUCUGCUGAGCAGGAUGGGAAGUAAGAGAGCACUCCCCUGCUCCUACACAUGUGCGCGCAUGCGCACACACACACACACGCGUUGCUGUCAUCGCAAAGGCAGCUUCCUCUUCUGGGAGCUCUGAAAUUGCCACCUGGCCUGGGUAAGAGGUUUCUCUGCAGGUGGGUGCCCAGAACGGCCACAUGUCUGUGGGGAGGAUGGAAACCCAGCCUUGGAGCCUGAGGAUCUCAGAGCACUUCCCACACAGCCGAAACUGGAAGAGUGUAUCUUGCACAAGGCCAGUGCGGGGACACAAGUUCGAUCCCUGGCCCAGGAGGAUCCAACAUGCCUCAGGGCAGUUAAGCCCACAUGCCACCAAGACUGAAGCCCACUUGCUCUAGAAACCAUGCUCCCCAGCAAGAGAAGCCGCCGCAGAGAGAGGCCCACACACCGCCUCGCCAGGGUAGCUCCUGCUUGCUGCAACUAGGGAAAGCCCACACGCAGCAACGAAGACCCAGCAAAGCCAAAAAUAAAUAAAUAUAAUUUUAAAAAUCG